UAUUCUGAUGACAAACUUACCCAGCUCGCUUUGAUUUAUCAUGAAGAGAACUGUUCCAAAUCCAACGCAAACUAAUUAAUUGCUGAUU
Molecule: small nucleolar RNA, 88 nt
Filed under: Drosophila grimshawi
Lineage: Eukaryota; Metazoa; Arthropoda; Insecta; Diptera; Drosophilidae
Description: snoRNA:GH25823
Source: RNAcentral